Molecule: long non-coding RNA, 1851 nt
Filed under: Bos indicus x Bos taurus (hybrid cattle)
Lineage: Eukaryota; Metazoa; Chordata; Mammalia; Artiodactyla; Bovidae
Description: lncRNA (ENSBIXG00005007119.1)
Source: RNAcentral
AUGCUCUAUGCUUCAGAAGGACUGGACUCACUUGGAACACGCAGAGGUGGCAAAGUGCUCUUCUGGGGCAAGGAUAAAGUUUCCCGCCUACAGCCUCUUGCACAACCGUGUGUCCCCACUGGUCUGAUUCAAGUGCCACUUGCGCCACAGUCAUCCAGGACGGUGACAGCAGUGCCUGUCAGAGGCUCGCUCCCUUCUUUACCUGGUAGGGUAAGGUUGCACGACUGGUCCUGCCACGGAUGCCUCGGGGCGAAGAAUGGAGGAGCAAGGGCCCUUUUCUCUAAACAAGAGUCAGGCUAAGAAUCCUAAGUGGUGCCUUUUGCAUCAGCUCUGCAGGAGAGACAGGAAGAAGAAAAAGCAGGCAUUGGUUGAAUGACAAUGUUGGUUUUGAUGACAUAGGUAUCUUACAGAAAAUACAUCAUCUUGAACUGUGGUGUUGGAGAAGACUCUUGAGAGUCCCUUGGACUGCAAGGAGAUCCAACCAGUCCAUCCUAAAGGAAAUCAGUCCUGAAUAUUCAUUGGAAGGACUGAUCUUGAAGCUGAAACUCCAAUACUUUGGCCACCUGAUGCAAAGAACCGACUCAUUGGAAAAGACCCUGAUGCUGGGAAAGAUUGAAGGCGGGAGAAGGGGAAGACAAAGGAUGAGAUGGUUGGAUGGCAUCACCAACUCAAUGGACAUGAGUUUGAGCAAGCUCUGGGAGUUGACGAUGGACAGGGAGGCCUGGCGUGCUGCAGUCCGUGGGGUCGCAAAGAGAUGGACAUGACUGAAGAACUGAACUUAAUGAACUGAGCUGAACUGAUUUUUAAAGAUGGAAGGAGAUGGAAAGAGAAAUAGUAAUUCAAAGGGGAAAUAGAACAUAGUACAUUGAUAUUAGUGAGUGAAAUUGAUGACAGUUUCUCUGAAAUAGGAAUUUAAAAGUUUAGAUAUUCAAUAGCUGGUAAUUUAGCAUUCUGAAAGGUAGUCAUUUGGGAAAGAAAUACAUCUUAUUAUAUGAUCACAUCAAUAACCUAUACCAAAAUGUAAUAAUGGUAAUAAUUGCAAUCAGUCCUAACUUCCUGAAGGAAAUAGCAAGAGAAACAAAAGAUGAUCAUAUUUUAUAUUUGUAAAUAAUGUUACAAGUUCCAAGGGAUUUCACUUAAACGGUCUCAUUUAAUCCUCACACCAGUUUAAAAAAUAGGCUGCACAAUUUUUUUUUUUCAUUUUGCAGGUGGAGGAUUGAAGCCUAGACCAGCUUGGUGAUUUGCCGUGGGUUAAAAUCUGGGAAAUAACAAAACUAGGACUAGAACUCUUGGCUUUUGCUUCCUAGUUCUUUUUAAUUCUGAAGGAGUGAUCAUUCCUGAUUCCACAGUCUCGGUCACUGAAAACAGCCAUUAAUUUCCAGGGUUGAGUAACGCUUCUUCAUGCUUUGGUAUCAUUCACAGUACUUAUCCCUAGUGAAUGGAUACUGUGUGUGGUUGUCCCUUUCCAUGUACUGUUAACACAACAUGGGAAUCAACCUAAACAAUUCAGCUCACAGCUUUCCUUUGGGUUUGUCAAGGGCCUCAGUUCUCAGUCAUGGUUCAGCUGGCAGAUGACUGAACCAUCUGUACCAACUGAAAAGCAUCACUUCCACCUACUCCACCCUCUGACCCAGUUUCUACCAACAGCUGGCACCACAGCAGGCAAUUGCAUAUAUUGCAGUUUGCUUUCAACCUGUCACCCCCCCAAUCUCUCUUUCACACACACACAUACAUCCCUCACCACACACAGAUGUACACACACACACACACACAUACACACACAAACAUUCUAGGGGAAAAAUUUUGUAUUGCUUUUAUUACUUUGUUUAAAUAAAUAAAUAAAAUGAACCA